AUGGCGCCGGUGAAGGUGUUGGGGUCGGCGGCGUUCACGAACGUGGCGUGGGUGCUGGUGUGCCUGGAGGAGGUCGGCGCCGAGUACGAGAUCGUCGACGUCGACUUCCGUUCCAAGGAGCACAAGGGCCCCGACCACCUCGCCAGAAACCCGUUCGGCCAGGUCCCGGCGUUCCAGGACGGGGAUCUCACGCUCUUCCGAAUAGAAGAUGUAUACAUGGAAGUUGUAGGGAAAGAGAUGACAUGGAGCAUCUCAAUUCCUAUGAGUAGGGAUUGGAAAAGAGAUGUCAUUUGGUUCACAUCAUAG
Molecule: ribosomal RNA, 306 nt
Filed under: Triticum aestivum (bread wheat)
Lineage: Eukaryota; Viridiplantae; Streptophyta; Magnoliopsida; Poales; Poaceae
Description: partial small subunit ribosomal RNA
Source: RNAcentral